GUUAGGAUCAUUCCAUUGGACAUUCGUCCUUUUGGCAUUGAAAAACUUUACUCGUGGACCAAAAUUUUUUAAAGGAAAGUCUCAGGAUUGCUGGGCAACAUGUGUGAUGAAGGCCGUGAACGAUGAUGAUACGAUAUUAGGAAUUCUUAACCUAGUAUCUGGCCGAAUGUAUUUUAUGGGCAAUUUUAUUGCCCGCAUGAUCGUGAACUCUAUUAGACUCUGAAACUUAAACGUUUUUGAGACAGAGAACAACAAAUACCUAUUACAAAAUUAUUGUUCACGAUCGUGUACUAUUGCGCUGGACUUAAGCAUAUCAUUAAGCGCAUGUGACAAACAACUGUGACUCAGUGAGUAGCGGCGAGCGAAAGCUGAGUAUGCCCUGUUAAUUCUUAUGAAAGUGGAUACUUUGGAAUAAGUAGCCGUUGUUGGUGAUAGACCAUACACUUUCUAUAGAUUACAUUAAGAGUAUUAUUGGUUUGUACACCAAUGAGAAUAGCAGAAGCACUGCUGCUAAGGCAUUAGAACAUGUUGACCGAUAGUGAAUAAGUACCGUGAGGGAAUGCUGAAAACAUCUCCGCAAGGAGAGUGAAAAGCGCUGAAAGAAACUUUCUGGAACCCAAAGAAUGAAUGAUUCUUUCUGGACUCGUCUUGAAACACGGACCAAGGAGUCGUUUGAGUAUGCAAGUGAUACACUGCUAAGGUGUGAGCGGUUUCCUUCGUGGAUAGCAUAUUCCAGCGGACCCGAAAGGUGGUGAACUACGCCUGCUGUGAAUGAAGCAAGGGGAAACUCUUGUGGAAGUUCUUAGCGGUACUGACGUGCAAAUCGUUCGCAAAAGGUAGGUGUAGGGGCGAAAGACUCAUCGAACCAUCUAGUAGCUGGUUUCCUC
RNAcentral lists this unclassified non-coding RNA (887 nucleotides) under uncultured fungus. RNAcentral's name for it is "sequence contains 18S rRNA gene, ITS1, 5.8S rRNA gene, ITS2, 28S rRNA gene". It matches the Rfam family "Bacterial large subunit ribosomal RNA", at positions 1 to 859 of the family's 2925-position model. The record is from RNAcentral. Lineage: Eukaryota; Fungi.